GGAGGAUUAGCUCAGCUGGGAGAGCAUCUGCCUUACAAGCAGAGGAUCGGCGGUUCGAGCCCGUCCCACCACCU
Molecule: transfer RNA, 74 nt
Filed under: Bacillus velezensis
Lineage: Bacteria; Bacillati; Bacillota; Bacilli; Caryophanales; Bacillaceae
Description: tRNA-Val
Rfam family: tRNA
About the family: Transfer RNA (tRNA) molecules are approximately 80 nucleotides in length. Their secondary structure includes four short double-helical elements and three loops (D, anti-codon, and T loops).
Source: RNAcentral